GAUGAACGCUGGCGGCGUGCUUAACACAUGCAAGUCGAACGAAGCAUUUAGAACAGAUUAUUUCGGUAUGAAGUUCUUUAUGACUGAGUGGCGGACGGGUGAGUAACGCGUGGGUAACCUGCCUUGUACUGGGGGAUAGCAGCUGGAAACGGCUGGUAAUACCGCAUAAGCGCACAAUGUUGCAUGACAUGGUGUGAAAGACUCCGGUGGUAUAAGAUGGACCCGCGUCUGAUUAGCUAGUUGGUGAGAUAACAGCCCACCAAGGCGACGAUCAGUAGCCGACCUGAGAGGGUGACCGGCCACAUGGGGACUGAGACACGGCCCAGACUCCUACGGGAGGCAGCAGUGGGGAAUAUUGCACAAUGGAGGAAACUCUGAUGCAGCGACGCCGCGUGAGUGAAGAAGUAAUUCGUUAUGUAAAGCUCUAUCAGCAGGGAAGAUAGUGACGGUACCUGACUAAGAAGCUCCGGCUAAAUACGUGCCAGCAGCCGCCGUAA
This 497-nucleotide ribosomal RNA is filed under the name uncultured bacterium. Its description in RNAcentral is "partial 16S ribosomal RNA". It matches the Rfam family "Bacterial small subunit ribosomal RNA", at positions 28 to 523 of the family's 1533-position model. The record is from RNAcentral.